CAAGGUAGAACUUGUUAGUAAAGUUUUUCAUUUACGCUGAAAAUUAUUCUGUGCGAUUCAGGAUAUCUUGA
This 71-nucleotide transfer RNA is filed under the name Tristira magellanica. Its description in RNAcentral is "tRNA-Val". The record is from RNAcentral. Lineage: Eukaryota; Metazoa; Arthropoda; Insecta; Orthoptera; Tristiridae.